RNAcentral lists this long non-coding RNA (1650 nucleotides) under Ursus thibetanus thibetanus. RNAcentral describes it as "lncRNA (ENSUTTG00000015505.1)". Lineage: Eukaryota; Metazoa; Chordata; Mammalia; Carnivora; Ursidae. The record is from RNAcentral.
AAUACCACUGAGAGGUGUAGACAGAAGAGAAGCUGUGUCAGUCAUUCCACAAUGGGAAGUUAUUGGUGACCUUUGAAAGGGCAUUUUUGGUGGAGACGUAGAGGUGACAGACUGAUUGGAGUGGGCUCAAAGCGUUCACUCAUCCUUACCGCUUACUAAAAUGGAAUAAAUCAAGAACUUCAAAAGCUUCUGGUCAGGGCAGAUAGUAACUCACCCUGUCUGCAUUACCUCCUCUUACGUCCUACCUGGAAUUUUCUACACGUUCCUAGUUGAUGGGAAUACGCACUAAGCUCCAACCAUCAGGAGCCCUGUCAUCAAAAUUUUGAGAUUAUAGCAGUUCUGGCAAGGAAAGCUUCAGCCUUUAGGAGGACAAAAAAAUGUUUACAUAGGAAGGUAGAGAUCAUCCAAAUUGAGUCCUUCUAUUUUACAUGUGGGGAAGUUGAGACCCAAAUCCCAGAGGUGACUUAUCGAAGGUUACACAGCUGCUCUUGCCUCUCUUCUCCCCCCAAGUGUACCUGGCAGGACUUCUGUGGCUUUUGAGCCUUUGGAAACAUUCCUUCCAAAUCCUGCUGGAGGAGCAGGGGUUGCUAAAACCACAGAUGGAAACUCGACACAGGGAGAGGCCGGGACUCCAGAAAAACUACUUUGGCCUCCGGUGAUGUGUUACCAUCAUGUGGCCCCACCACUCGACUUUACUGGUGCCAAAGUAAGAAGUCCGGUGAGUGGUCCAGGGUCACGGAGGGAGGUGGAGGCAGAUCUGCCUUCCCCGUCGGGGCUCCUUCCUUGACAAGAAACGAGUUGAGGUGCUGGGCUUGUUGAUUGAAAGCUCAGUGGCCUCUCAAUUUAGUGAUCUUUUUCCUGUACCAAAGCUAGUCUUUUUUCCUGAUACAUGAAAACCUCAAGGCUCCUUCUCUCCUUUCCGCCUCUUUCAGAGUCCCCCCCCCCCAUAGAUUCCAUCCUCCUAAAUUCUUUGGGUCAUAUACUAUGCUGUCCUGUGACCAUGCCUCCUGCUAGUGUGUCCCAGCUUCUAGCAUUGGCAAAGAUUUUCUAGAAAGAUUGUGAAGAUGCAGAUCCCCUGGUCUGAGCAUCAGCCUUCAGACGUUCUGGAUCAGGAAUCUGAAGUUUUAAUAGGAGUCCUCUGUGAUUCUGAUGCAGGGGAGCCAGAAAUCUCACCUUAACAAUCUCUCCCUUACAAUCACCCACCUCCACUGGGGGGCAGUUUUCUGCUUGUGUAAUCGAGGUCUUUGGAAUUCCCACCCCAUCAAAUACUAGCUCACCUGAGCUUGGUCACUGAGCAUUUGUUAAAGCUGAUUUCACACCUGUCAAAUCUGAAUACCAGUUCCUAUAUUCUAAGGGGGUCAUGGAAGAUUAAAAACACAAUGUUCAGGGGCGCCUGGGUGGCACAGCGGUUAAGCGUCUGCCUUCUGCUUAGGGCGUGAUCCCGGCGUUAUGGGAUCGAGCCCCACAUCGGGCUCUUCCGCUGUGAGCCUGCUUCUUCCUCUCCCACUCCCCCUGCUUGUGUUCCCUCUCUCGCUGGCUGUCUCUAUCUCUGUCGAAUAAAUAAAUAAAAUCUUUAAAAAAAAAAAACAAUGUUCAGAGUAGUGAAGAGUAGUUCUGACCAUUGGUAGUUACAGAGAAUAGGGCAUAAAA